Molecule: long non-coding RNA, 920 nt
Organism: Solanum lycopersicum (tomato)
Lineage: Eukaryota; Viridiplantae; Streptophyta; Magnoliopsida; Solanales; Solanaceae
Source: RefSeq, a predicted model, not a curated record
CUACAAUAAUACGAAGCAAAGUUAAACCAAAUAUCAACAAGCUUAACUGAUUUUACAAUUUCAAUAUAUUUAAAUAUUUAGAAGUGAAUUUAUAUGUUUUUACCUUGUUCUCUUGAUAGGUCAUUUUCUUCUGAAUUAUGUGUCUCUUGUUCCACUUGGUCAUGUAUAUCGUGUGCCUCUACAGUAGGAGAUUCUCUUGGUACAUGUUGCAAUUGUUUCUUUGAAACUUGUGCUACUAUAGUGGAAGAAUUAAUAGGUGCUUGUGACACUUGUUCGUGCACAACUUGUGCUUUUAAAGUGGAAAAUUCAUGGCACAUGUUUUUGUGCAUAGAUCUUGUUUUUAGACUGAAACAACUAUGAGGCAUUUCAUUCUUUUUAGACUGUGCUUUUAAAUUGCGAGAAUUCUGAGGCACUUGUGGCAAUUCUUCUUGUAAUUUUUGUCCUACAAGAGUAGAGAAAUUUCAGGGCAGUAUAGAUUGAACAUUCCCUUUUGAUCUUAAUGAAGAAAUCCUUUUGUAAGCCAUAGAUGUUAUCUCUCAAACAUUCUUCAAUAGACACAACAUCAUCAAAAUCAACUUAUUCAUAUAUCAUCAAAUCUCCAGAUUUACGCUUCAAUUUCUUCAAACCCGAAUUUUUCUAUUUUACAUCAUUCUCAAGUAAUUCCGUUUGAAGGGUUUCAUAAUAACAAAUUCUUUCUUCAAUGGAUGCAUUCAAGAGAGCUACUAGAGGCAUUGUAAAAAAAAAACACAGUUCUUUCGAGUUAUCAUAGUUUAAUUUUUUUCACUCAAGAAAUAAACAACAAUGUAGGUUCAACUUCUAAGUCUAAGGAGGUUAUACGAGGUGGAAAAAUGGCUGAACCUGUCGAGGUGCGAAAUUCCACAGAAAUUCAUGAAGUUGAAUAAGAACAAUUUUUUGGAGAA